RNAcentral lists this transfer RNA (73 nucleotides) under Vagococcus acidifermentans. RNAcentral's name for it is "Vagococcus sp. AC-1 tRNA". It matches the Rfam family "tRNA". From Rfam's summary of the family: Transfer RNA (tRNA) molecules are approximately 80 nucleotides in length. The record is from Rfam by way of RNAcentral. Lineage: Bacteria; Bacillati; Bacillota; Bacilli; Lactobacillales; Enterococcaceae.
GCUUGGAUAGCUCAGUCGGUAGAGCAACGCACUCGUAAUGCGUAGGUCGCAAGUUCGAUUCUUGUUCCAAGCA